Molecule: ribosomal RNA, 567 nt
Filed under: uncultured marine eukaryote
Lineage: Eukaryota
Description: SSU rRNA
Rfam family: Eukaryotic small subunit ribosomal RNA
Source: RNAcentral
GUUAAAAAGCUCGUAGUUGGAUUUCGGUUAAGAGCGACCGGUCCGCCGUUUGGUGUGCACUGGUUGGUUUUAACUUCCUGUAGAGGACGUGCUCUGGGCUUAACGGUCUGGACUCGGAGUCUACGUGGUUACUUUGAAAAAAUUAGAGUGUUCAAAGCGGGCUUACGCUUGAAUAUUUCAGCAUGGAAUAACACUAUAGGACUCCUGUCCUAUUUCGUUGGUCUCGGGACGGGAGUAAUGAUUAAGAGGAACAGUUGGGGGCAUUCGUAUUUCAUUGUCAGAGGUGAAAUUCUUGGAUUUAUGAAAGACGAACUUCUGCGAAAGCAUUUGCCAAGGAUGUUUUCAUUAAUCAAGAACGAAAGUUGGGGGCUCGAAGAUGAUUAGAUACCAUCCUAGUCUCAACCACAAACGAUGCCGACUAGGGAUUGGCGGAUGUUAAUUGAUGACUCCGCCAGCACCUUAUGAGAAAUCAAAGUUUUUGGGUUCCGGGGGGAAUAUGGUUGCAAGGCUGAAACUUAAAGGAAUUGACGGAAGGGCACCACCAGGCGUGGAGCCUGCGGCUUAAUU